CCUACGGGUGGCAGCAGUAGGGAAUAUUGCUCAAUGGGGGAAACCCUGAAGCAGCGACGCCGCGUGAGGGAUGAAGGUUUUCGGAUUGUAAAGUCCUUUUGUUAGAGAAGAUAGUUACGAUGUCUACCGACUAAGAAGCGGCUAACUCCUACCCAGCAGCAGCGGUAGUACGGAGGGGGCAAGCGUUGCUCGGAAUAACUGGGUGUAAAGAGCGCGUAGGCGGGAUAGCAAGUCAGAUGUGAAAGGCUGUGGCUGAACCAUAGAACUGCAUUUGAAACUGUUAUGCUGGAGUAUGGGAGAGGUAGGUGGAAUUCUUGGUGUAGGGGUAAAAUCCGUAGAGAUCAAGAGGAAUACUCAUUGCGAAGGCGACUUGCUAGAAUAUAACUGACGCUGAGGCGCGAAAGCGUGGGGAGCAAACAGGAUUAGAUACCCGAGUAGUC
RNAcentral lists this ribosomal RNA (440 nucleotides) under uncultured bacterium. Its description in RNAcentral is "partial 16S ribosomal RNA". It matches the Rfam family "Bacterial small subunit ribosomal RNA", at positions 338 to 795 of the family's 1533-position model. The record is from RNAcentral.